This 234-nucleotide ribosomal RNA is filed under the name uncultured bacterium. RNAcentral's name for it is "partial 16S ribosomal RNA". It matches the Rfam family "Bacterial small subunit ribosomal RNA", at positions 524 to 758 of the family's 1533-position model. The record is from RNAcentral.
UACGUAGGGUGCGAGCGUUGUCCGGAAUUAUUGGGCGUAAAGAGCUCGUAGGCGGUGUGUCGCGUCGGCCGUGAAAACCUGCAGCUUAACUGUGGCUUGCGGUCGAUACGGGCAUCACUGGAGUUCGGCAGGGAGACUGGAAUUCCUGGUGUAGCGGUGAAAUGCGCAGAUAUCAGGAGGAACACCGGUGGCGAAGGCGGGUCUCUGGGCCGAUACUGACGCUGAGGAGCGAAA